This is a long non-coding RNA of Helianthus annuus (common sunflower), 346 nucleotides long. RefSeq lists it as uncharacterized. Lineage: Eukaryota; Viridiplantae; Streptophyta; Magnoliopsida; Asterales; Asteraceae. The transcript has 4 exons. The record is from RefSeq and is a predicted model, not a curated record.
ACCAAACCCUAAUCCCGCUACGCAGUUCUCCCUCAACCUCAGUUCCACCAUUCAGCGAUUUCACUUUGGAUCUUGAUGAUUAGUUCAAAAGGUAGAUUGUAUGAGGAUAUGAACACUUCUCUCGCCAUUGAAGAAUAUAUAAACGUUAUGGAAUAUGUCGCUGGAGGAGAGCUAUUUGACAAGUUUGUAGCGCAACGCUUCAGUGACGAUGAGAGAUAUAAUGACUUUACUUAUGUGAAAAGAUACAUUAACUGAAGAGGAAGCUUGGUUUUAUGUCGGAGAAACUGUUUUGGCAAUCGAAUCCAUUCACAAACAUAACUAUAUUCAGAGGUUAUAACAAUUUUCC